UAGGGAAUCUUCCGCAAUGGACGAAAGUCUGACGGAGCAACGCCGCGUGAGUGAUGAAGGUUUUCGGAUCGUAAAACUCUGUUGUUAGGGAAGAACAAGUUGGGUAGUAACUGACCCAACCUUGACAGUACCUAACCAGAAAGCCACGGCUAACUACGUGCCAGCAGCCGCGGUAAUACGUAGGUGGCAAGCGUUGUCCGGAAUUAUUGGGCGUAAAGCGCUCGCAGGCGGUCUUUUAAGUCUGAUGUGAAAGCCCACGGCUUAACCGUGGAGGGUCAUUGGAAACUGGAGGACUUGAGUACAGAAGAGGAGAGUGGAAUUCCACGUGUAGCGGUGAAAUGCGUAGAGAUGUGGAGGAACACCAGUGGCGAAGGCGACUCUCUGGUCUGUAACUGACGCUGAGGAGCGAAAGCGUGGGUAGCGAACAGG
This 429-nucleotide ribosomal RNA is filed under the name Bacillota bacterium. RNAcentral describes it as "Firmicutes bacterium partial 16S ribosomal RNA". It matches the Rfam family "Bacterial small subunit ribosomal RNA", at positions 355 to 776 of the family's 1533-position model. Lineage: Bacteria; Bacillati; Bacillota. The record is from RNAcentral.